Molecule: ribosomal RNA, 1376 nt
Filed under: metagenome
Description: bacterial LSU rRNA
Rfam family: Bacterial large subunit ribosomal RNA
Source: RNAcentral
UUGAUGGGGGCCUUAUGGCCCGAUAUCCGGUGAUCCCGGCUGCCGAGAAAAGCUUCGGCGUCAGGCUCAAAGCCGCCCGUACCCCAAACCGACACUGGUGGUCAGGUAGAGAAUACCAAAGCGAUCGAGCGAAUCCUGGUCAAGGAACUCGGCAAAUCACUCCCGUUCCUUCGGUUUAAGGGAGACCCCCGAUGGUGAACACACUUGCUGUGGGAGCUUUUGGGGGUGGCACAGACCAGGGGGUAGCGACUGUUUACCAAAAACACAGGUGCAUGCGAAGGCGCAAGCCGCUGUAUAUGCACUGACGCCUGCCCGGUGCCGGAAGGUUAAGAGGAUCCGUCAGCCUUCGGGUGAAGCGGUGAAUUCAAGCCCCGGUAAACGGCGGUGGUAACAAUAACCAUCCUAAGGUAGCGAAAUUCCUUGUCGGGUAAGUUCCGACCUGCACGAAUGGCGUAACGACUUCCCCACUGUCUCGACCAGGAGCUCGGCGAAAUUGCAGUACGAGUAAAGAUGCUCGUUAAGCGCAGAAGGACGAAAAGACCCCGGGACCUUUACUAUACCUUGGUAUUGGCAUUCGGUGUGGAUUGUGUAGCAUAGGCGGGAGGCCGAGAGGCGCGGUCGCCAGAUCGCGCGGAGCCGUAAGGUGAAAUACCGCUCUGUUCGCAUUGGAUGUCUAACCUCGAACAGUCAUCCUGUUCAGGGACAGUGCCUGGCGGGUAGUUUAACUGGGGCGGUUGCCUCCCAAAGAGUAACGGAGGCGCCCAAAGGUCCGCUCAGCCCGGUUGGCAAUCGGGUGGCGAGUGCAAGUGCACAAGCGGGCUUGACUGCGAGGACGACGGUCCGAGCAGGGACGAAAGUCGGGACUAGUGAUCCGGUGCCGGUGUACGGACGCGGCAUCGCUCAACGGAUAAAAGGUACCCCGGGGAUAACAGGCUGAUCAUUCCCAAGAGUCCAUAUCGACGGGAUGGUUUGGCACCUCGAUGUCGGCUCGUCGCAUCCUGGGGCUGGAGCAGGUCCCAAGGGUUCGGCUGUUCGCCGAUUAAAGCGGCACGCGAGCUGGGUUCAGAACGUCGUGAGACAGUUUGGUCUCUAUCCUCUGCGCUCGUUGGAAUGCUGAGGAGGCCUGCCCAUAGUACGAGAGGACCUGGGUGGACGAACCUCUGGUAUGCCGGUUGUCACGCCAGUGGCACGGCCGGUUGGCUACGUUCGGAAGGGAUAACCGCUGAAAGCAUCUAAGCGGGAAGCCUGCUCCAAGAUAAGCAUUCCGUGGAACCUUCGAGUUCCUGUAGUCCCCAUGCAGAACACGUGGUCGAUAGGCCGGACGUGGAAGCCCCGCGAGGGGUGGAGCCGACCGGUACUAACGGACGAAAGGCAGC